This 1611-nucleotide ribosomal RNA is filed under the name Staphylococcus aureus. RNAcentral describes it as "partial 23S ribosomal RNA". It matches the Rfam family "Bacterial large subunit ribosomal RNA", at positions 89 to 1698 of the family's 2925-position model. The record is from RNAcentral. Lineage: Bacteria; Bacillati; Bacillota; Bacilli; Caryophanales; Staphylococcaceae.
UAAGUAAGCUUUGAUCCAGAGAUUUCCGAAUGGGGAAACCCAGCAUGAGUUAUGUCAUGUUAUCGAUAUGUGAAUACAUAGCAUAUCAGAAGGCACACCCGGAGAACUGAAACAUCUUAGUACCCGGAGGAAGAGAAAGAAAAUUCGAUUCCCUUAGUAGCGGCGAGCGAAACGGGAAGAGCCCAAACCAACAAGCUUGCUUGUUGGGGUUGUAGGACACUCUAUACGGAGUUACAAAGGACGACAUUAGACGAAUCAUCUGGAAAGAUGAAUCAAAGAAGGUAAUAAUCCUGUAGUCGAAAAUGUUGUCUCUCUUGAGUGGAUCCUGAGUACGACGGAGCACGUGAAAUUCCGUCGGAAUCUGGGAGGACCAUCUCCUAAGGCUAAAUACUCUCUAGUGACCGAUAGUGAACCAGUACCGUGAGGGAAAGGUGAAAAGCACCCCGGAAGGGGAGUGAAAUAGAACCUGAAACCGUGUGCUUACAAGUAGUCAGAGCCCGUUAAUGGGUGAUGGCGUGCCUUUUGUAGAAUGAACCGGCGAGUUACGAUUUGAUGCAAGGUUAAGCAGUAAAUGUGGAGCCGUAGCGAAAGCGAGUCUGAAUAGGGCGUUUAGUAUUUGGUCGUAGACCCGAAACCAGGUGAUCUACCCUUGGUCAGGUUGAAGUUCAGGUAACACUGAAUGGAGGACCGAACCGACUUACGUUGAAAAGUGAGCGGAUGAACUGAGGGUAGCGGAGAAAUUCCAAUCGAACCUGGAGAUAGCUGGUUCUCUCCGAAAUAGCUUUAGGGCUAGCCUCAAGUGAUGAUUAUUGGAGGUAGAGCACUGUUUGGACGAGGGGCCCCUCUCGGGUUACCGAAUUCAGACAAACUCCGAAUGCCAAUUAAUUUAACUUGGGAGUCAGAACAUGGGUGAUAAGGUCCGUGUUCGAAAGGGAAACAGCCCAGACCACCAGCUAAGGUCCCAAAAUAUAUGUUAAGUGGAAAAGGAUGUGGCGUUGCCCAGACAACUAGGAUGUUGGCUUAGAAGCAGCCAUCAUUUAAAGAGUGCGUAAUAGCUCACUAGUCGAGUGACACUGCGCCGAAAAUGUACCGGGGCUAAACAUAUUACCGAAGCUGUGGAUUGUCCUUUGGACAAUGGUAGGAGAGCGUUCUAAGGGUGUUGAAGCAUGAUCGCAAGGACAUGUGGAGCGCUUAGAAGUGAGAAUGCCGGUGUGAGUAGCGAAAGACGGGUGAGAAUCCCGUCCACCGAUUGACUAAGGUUUCCAGAGGAAGGCUCGUCCGCUCUGGGUUAGUCGGGUCCUAAGCUGAGGCCGACAGGCGUAGGCGAUGGAUAACAGGUUGAUAUUCCUGUACCACCUAUAAUCGUUUUAAUCGAUGGGGGGACGCAGUAGGAUAGGCGAAGCGUGCGAUUGGAUUGCACGUCUAAGCAGUAAGGCUGAGUAUUAGGCAAAUCCGGUACUCGUUAAGGCUGAGCUGUGAUGGGGAGAAGACAUUGUGUCUUCGAGUCGUUGAUUUCACACUGCCGAGAAAAGCCUCUAGAUAGAAAAUAGGUGCCCGUACCGCAAACCGACACAGGUAGUCAAGAUGAGAAUUCUAAGGUGAGCGAGCGAA